This 824-nucleotide long non-coding RNA is filed under the name Homo sapiens (human). Its description in RNAcentral is "HSALNT0301104". Lineage: Eukaryota; Metazoa; Chordata; Mammalia; Primates; Hominidae. The record is from RNAcentral.
CAUGAUUCUGAGGCUUCCCCAGCCGUGUGGAACUGCCAAAGGAGAGAGUGGAAGAAGUCAAACUUGGAAGAUUGAAAAACUGUUUUUAAAAGUAAUUCUAUGGCUGCUCAACAGUUAAGGCUGCUGGACUUGAAUUCCACCCUGAAGCUUAUAAAGUCAUCGCUGGGUUACUCUGCUAUCAGUUUGGUUAUUUCAUGGAAGAGAAGGAGACAAAGGGACUUGCUCUUUUGCCAAGUGCGUUGUUCCAGGAUGAGCAGGCUAGAGGAAGGAAAAAGAAUGCUUUACGCUGCAAGUGCCUGCCUUUUCAGCACAAGGAAACCUGCUGCUAUUAUUUUCUCUAUAAUCCACUUUGGUAAAGAUACAUAAUAGACAUUUAUAUAAUGCAUGUAAAAAGUCAGAAAACCAGAAAGUUCUCUGACAGUAACACCUUACAACCUGAUACUGAAGAAAAUAUCCUUGUAAGAUGAACAUUGUGCAUUUCAUAGACAUUGCUCUUUUAGUUCCCUAAGCCUAACUGGCAGGCCUAGCAUUUCAUUACAUCUCAUAUAGCGACUGAUUGCUUGGGGCAUCAUAUUCCUUUAAAAGUCAUGCCUUUACUGCCUUUCCGUAAUUGCAUUCUGUGUGUGCAAUGAUCUGAAAGCUAUUUGAGAAGAAGGAGCAUAAUAUUACAUAUAUGUUAGAGAGAAAUACCAAACCCCUGUACCAUUUCUUGACACUUGAAGGUUUUAAUAGUGCUGAUUCAAUAAUAAUGUAGUCACAUCAUUAAUUUGUAUUACCCUGGUUUGCAAUUUCUACAGGCUUUUUAAAAAGAAAAAUAAACCCAU